GAGGAAGCAGGGUCCCUGCCGAGCAGAGAGCCCGAUGCGAGUCUCCAUCCCAGGACCCUGGGAUCAUGACCCGAGCCGAAGGCAGAGGCUUCAACCCACUGAGCCACCCAGAUUUCUGCCUUACCUGAUGGAUUUGACUCUGGGUCAGCAGAAGAGACACAGCUCAGCACCAACAAGGUGUCAAGGUAUGACACUGAGUGAGGACUGAGGGGAGAAUCCACCCCAAAAGAAGGGGCAACAGAGAGAUUUCAAUACACGCCCCCCCCCCCGCCCCCGGCUGUCAGUCUUGGAAGGUCCCAGUGAUGGCUGCUCAGCUCUACUCCCACCUUACUUCCUACUGGGGGUUCUGAGGGAAAUGAAAGCCUUGGUCUGAUGUGAGCUAACUUCAUCAGAGGAAGAAGUCCCAGACCCUGCAAGUCAGGAGUCAGAAAGGAACCCUGUUUGACUUCUGCAUAGUUCUUCCACCACCAGUACUGAGGGGAGUCCUCCAGAAACCCACGCGAGAUUUUAUGCUAGGAAGGCCAGAUGGGUGUGGCCGGAAGUGCUCACCCUGACUUCCGCUACAUGCGCAGUGGAGCCUGAGUUCGUUUGAGACGUGGAGAGGUGUGGUCUCACACCAGCAAAGGAGGAGUGCCAGGAGUGGACAGUUGUCAAGGUGAGUAACUUGCUAGGCCUGAAAGGGGUACACUCCUUUCAGAAUUGAGGUUCCCCAAAGAGCCUGGUCCAAU
RNAcentral lists this long non-coding RNA (728 nucleotides) under Mustela putorius furo (domestic ferret). RNAcentral describes it as "lncRNA (ENSMPUG00000025944.1)". The record is from RNAcentral. Lineage: Eukaryota; Metazoa; Chordata; Mammalia; Carnivora; Mustelidae.